Molecule: ribosomal RNA, 253 nt
Filed under: Peptoniphilus duerdenii ATCC BAA-1640
Lineage: Bacteria; Bacillati; Bacillota; Tissierellia; Tissierellales; Peptoniphilaceae
Also listed under: 1 other name
Description: partial 16S ribosomal RNA
Rfam family: Bacterial small subunit ribosomal RNA
Source: RNAcentral
UACGUAGGGGGCUAGCGUUGUCCGGAAUCACUGGGCGUAAAGGGUUCGCAGGCGGAAUAACAAGUCAGAUGUGAAAGGCAUGGGCUCAACCCAUGUAAGCAUUUGAAACUGUAAUUCUUGAGAAGUGGAGAGGUAAGUGGAAUUCCUAGUGUAGCGGUGAAAUGCGUAGAUAUUAGGAGGAAUACCUGUGGCGAAGGCGACUUACUGGACACAAAUCUGACGCUGAGGAACGAAAGCGUGGGUAGCAAACAGG